Molecule: long non-coding RNA, 418 nt
Filed under: Mytilus galloprovincialis (Mediterranean mussel)
Lineage: Eukaryota; Metazoa; Mollusca; Bivalvia; Mytilida; Mytilidae
Source: RNAcentral
GUUUUAGAAUAAAUGUGUUUAUUUCCGAUGCAAAGACCCUAUGAGUGUAUCAAUAUUAAUACCAAAAUAUGCAAUCCUCAAUGACCUGACAACAGUAUCGUAACUAUAUCCUAUCCGAGUAAGUCUGUUUAAAGGUUUGGUUAAAUCUUGAGGUGAAUGAGACAUUUUUUAGCUUUGUAAGAAUAUAACCACAAAAUAUUGGAUGUGAAAUACCUGUACGUAUAAAAUGUCUGCAUGUUGAUUUAUAUUUACGAAUGAUGUCCUUAUACCGAUAAUAAAAUUUAGUAAAUGUUUGGACUAGUUUGUGAUAUCAAAAACCCUGGUGUAAUAAUUUUUCAGUAAUACAGAGAUUUCUUUCGUUGAAAUCAUAUACGUUGUUACCCACACGAGCGACGAAAGCCGUCAACAUUGUGUUAUA